UAAGGAAUAUUGGUCAAUGGACGCAAGUCUGAACCAGCCAUGCCGCGUGAAGGAUGAAGGUCCUCUGGAUUGUAAACUUCUUUUAUAUGGGACGAAACCUGGGAAUUCCUUCCCAAUUGACGGUACCAUAAGAAUAAGCACCGGCUAACUCCGUGCCAGCAGCCGCGGUAAUACGGAGGGUGCAAGCGUUAUCCGGAUUCACUGGGUUUAAAGGGUGCGUAGGAGGGUAGGUAAGUCAGUGGUGAAAUCUUCGAGCUUAACUCGGAAACUGCCGUUGAUACUAUCUAUCUUGAAUACCGUGGAGGUGAGCGGAAUAUGUCAUGUAGCGGUGAAAUGCUUAGAUAUGACAUAGAACACCAAUUGCGAAGGCAGCUCGCUACACGAAUAUUGACUCUGAGGCACGAAAGCGUGGGGAUCAAACA
Molecule: ribosomal RNA, 422 nt
Filed under: uncultured Flavisolibacter sp.
Lineage: Bacteria; Pseudomonadati; Bacteroidota; Chitinophagia; Chitinophagales; Chitinophagaceae
Description: bacterial SSU rRNA
Rfam family: Bacterial small subunit ribosomal RNA
Source: RNAcentral